RNAcentral lists this small RNA (132 nucleotides) under Salmonella enterica. RNAcentral's name for it is "RtT sRNA". It matches the Rfam family "RtT RNA". From Rfam's summary of the family: This family represents a bacterial cis-regulatory element known as RtT RNA. The exact function of RtT is unknown although it is thought that it may be involved in changing the cellular response in relation to amino acid starvation. The record is from RNAcentral. Lineage: Bacteria; Pseudomonadati; Pseudomonadota; Gammaproteobacteria; Enterobacterales; Enterobacteriaceae.
GUUUGCACUUGUCGGGGAAGGGUGAGAACCUUCGAUUAAAGUUCGACUCGAGCGAAAGCGAGAGAACGUUGCCAACGGCAACGGCCCGUAGGGUGAGGAGCGAAGCGACGAAUAAUCCUUCCCCCACCACCA